Molecule: ribosomal RNA, 264 nt
Filed under: Triticum aestivum (bread wheat)
Lineage: Eukaryota; Viridiplantae; Streptophyta; Magnoliopsida; Poales; Poaceae
Description: partial small subunit ribosomal RNA
Source: RNAcentral
AUGGCGGCGGAGGUCGAGGGUACCCAGAAGCGCGGGGCGGCGGCCUUCCUGGAGGACCCCUUCGAGGUGCUGCAGGCGAAGCGGGGCCGGUGCUCGCCGUCCGCCGCUGCGGCCGCGGUAGCCGACCUCGGCAUCAACAUGGAGUUCGACCCCAUCGAGGCACUCCAGUCCGUCUUCCCCGGCGCCGAUCCGCAGGAUCGCCUGCGCUCCCGCCACUUUGAAUUCUUCUCACAUAUGAUGGCUAAAUUUAGGAUUCAGAAGUAA